Molecule: long non-coding RNA, 1653 nt
Organism: Junco hyemalis (dark-eyed junco)
Lineage: Eukaryota; Metazoa; Chordata; Aves; Passeriformes; Passerellidae
Source: Ensembl
GAUCAUCAGUCACGGAGAUCAGGUACUCAGGCAGCUGAAGCACCUGCCAGAGGCAAUGCUAACAUCAGCUGGAUGGCCAAGGAAACAAGGACAUGCAUGGAGACCAGCAUGGGUGGACACAGGCCCCUUACUUACCUCUGCGGAAAGGUGUUAUCCCAAAAUUACUGCUGGGAGAGGCCAAGCUGUCGCACUGAGGGCGAGUUGGGGUCUUUGUUAAUAUGUUUAUAAAAAUGUGAAGCCUGGGCGUUGCUGGAAAAGAAGAUACUGGUGUAUUUGAAAGUAAAAUAAGCAAACAUUUGCCUAGUGAGGGAGAAAAAUUAUGUCAGAAGUAAUAUAUGAUAAUGGAGAAAUUCCUCAAAAAUCAACUACAGUGAGGACAGCAAAGCCCUGGUGAGGUGAGCGAGCUGGUGGGUAGCAAAAACAACUGAGGGCAACUCUGCUGAGCAUUUCCCAUCAGUCAUUUUCUAGGGAGCUCCCUGCCACAGCUCUUGAGGAGAUGAUGGAUGGCUGGUCCCUGGCAAAGCUCUGCCAGCUCAGCUUGACUCACCAGGAAUGAGGAGGUUUGAAGGAACAGAGCGGGGUCCAGAGGGAAGGAGAGGAUUUCAAACACAGGGCUCAGGGCAUCACAGCCCUCAUUAGCACUGCCCCACAUGGUGCUUACCACAGGACUGGCAAGAGGAAAGGCUUUGCAUGUCCUCACACCUGCCUGUGCUGCCAGAGCACAGUUUGAGUAACAAACUCUCCAGACUCAGGGGACUGGGGUGGCAGUCCACCCUCUGCCCAAUGACUGCAGGCUCAGGAAUGGCUCUGCUGGGUGACCCUUCCAAUUCAGAGCCUCAAAAUCAGAAAAGCUUGCAAAUUGCUCUGAUCUUACCAGACAAAGGCGUUGCUCACUCCCGGAGUCCUUGGAUAUCCUACACAAAAAGGUAGGAAUUGGUGAGAAUUACCUGAGAUAAAAUAUCCCUUACAACAUCAAAGUUCCUGAUCCCUUAGCUGUCAGCUGCAGGUAUGUGAAAGUCCUGACAGGCUGAAGAUAGAAGGAAGAGAUAAAGCAAAAAAAGAAGGGAGGGGGACUGGAGAAAUUCUCUGCAUGAAACGUUAUAUCAUUGGAUUUGGCACAAAGAUGUCAGCUCAGGGGUCUGCACAGCCAGCUGGGGUGUGAGCAGGGCACUGGGCUUUCACCUUCUGAGAUGCAUCAACAGCAGCUGAUACCAGGGACAGAUCCUGAUCCUUGGCACACGGUGGAGAAAGAGGUGGACUUCAGUAGUCUGUGUGAGUCCCUUCUAACUCAGGAUAUUCUAUGAUAAAUGAAGCAGGAGUGACAGAGAUCAGGAUAAAUCAUGAUCAUGAUCCCCCACAUUUUCCCUAUCCCUGUACACUCAGCUGUUGGCUGUCUUUUGCCAGUAAAAUGGGUGAAGUGGGUCAGUUACCAGGGGAAUCACUGCUGUAGCACAGGACAUCAUCCUUUUGCCAUCUUUGCCCUGCACAUUUUAUAAUAAUUGACCUCCCUGAGUUGUCACAGGAGCAUGGCAGGAGAGCUGGGGUCAGACUCCACCUGGUGCUGCCCAGCCUGCAGCACUGACCUCCCUGCAAAGUCCAGCUCGUUGGCAGCAAAGCCACAGGUAGGCCUGAAAAACAGAUUUUCACAAAAAC